RNAcentral lists this ribosomal RNA (253 nucleotides) under uncultured bacterium. RNAcentral's name for it is "partial 16S ribosomal RNA". It matches the Rfam family "Bacterial small subunit ribosomal RNA", at positions 524 to 776 of the family's 1533-position model. The record is from RNAcentral.
UACGUAGGUGGCAAGCGUUGUCCGGAUUUAUUGGGCGUAAAGCGCAUGUAGGCGGCUUUGCAAGUCCCAUGUGAAAGCCCACGGCUUAACCGUGGAAGUGCAUGGGAAACUGCAGAGCUUGAGUACUUAAGAGGAUCGCGGAAUUCCCGGUGUAGAGGUGAAAUUCGUAGAUAUCGGGAGGAACACCAGUGGCGAAGGCGGCGAUCUGGGAAGAUACUGACGCUGAGGUGCGAAAGCGUGGGGAGCAAACAGG